RNAcentral lists this ribosomal RNA (451 nucleotides) under uncultured bacterium. Its description in RNAcentral is "partial 16S ribosomal RNA". It matches the Rfam family "Bacterial small subunit ribosomal RNA", at positions 29 to 523 of the family's 1533-position model. The record is from RNAcentral.
AGCGAACGCUGGCGGCAGGUUUAACACAUGCAAGUCGAGCGGGCAUAGCAAUAUGUCAGCGGCAGACGGGUGAGUAACGCGUGGGAACGUACCUUUUGGUUCGGAACAACACAGGGAAACUUGUGCUAAUACCGGGUAAGCCCUUACGGGGAAAGAUUUAUCGCCGAAAGAUCGGCCCGCGUCUGAUUAGCUAGUUGGUGAGGUAAUGGCUCACCAAGGCGACGAUCAGUAGCUGGUCUGAGAGGAUGAUCAGCCACAUUGGGACUGAGACACGGCCCAAACUCCUACGGGAGGCAGCAGUGGGGAAUAUUGGACAAUGGGCGCAAGCCUGAUCCAGCCAUGCCGCGUGAGUGAUGAAGGCCCUAGGGUUGUAAAGCUCUUUUGUGCGGGAAGAUAAUGACGGUACCGCAAGAAUAAGCCCCGGCUAACUUCGUGCCAGCCGCCGCCGUAA